GGAAGUGGGCCCUCCGUAGCCGCCGCGCAGGCAGAGACUGUGAACCACCGCAAGCUGCGUCGGUCAAGAGCCGGGUGGUGAGCGUUGCGGAAAAGGUGCGCCGUGAGUGUGUCAGGU
This 117-nucleotide non-coding RNA is filed under the name Actinocrispum wychmicini. Lineage: Bacteria; Bacillati; Actinomycetota; Actinomycetes; Pseudonocardiales; Pseudonocardiaceae. The record is from RNAcentral.